Molecule: ribosomal RNA, 253 nt
Filed under: uncultured bacterium
Lineage: Bacteria
Description: partial 16S ribosomal RNA
Rfam family: Bacterial small subunit ribosomal RNA
Source: RNAcentral
UACGAAGGGGGCUAGCGUUGCUCGGAAUCACUGGGCGUAAAGGGUGCGUAGGCGGAUCUUUAAGUCAGGGGUGAAAUCCUGGAGCUCAACUCCAGAACUGCCUUUGAUACUGGGGAUCUCGAGUCCGGAAGAGGUGAGUGGAACUCCGAGUGUAGAGGUGAAAUUCGUAGAUAUUCGGAGGAACACCAGUGGCGAAGGCGGCUCACUGGUCCGGUACUGACGCUGAGGUGCGAGAGCGUGGGGAGCAAACAGG